CUGGCAUUGCAAGUGUGCAAGCGUUCAGUAGGGACUCUGAGUUAGAUUGUAAAAGGCAGGGAGGUUGCUGUGGGUUCCAGAACAGAUAUUGAGUGAGAGAGGUUUCCCCUUCGGAGUUUUGACCAGGUAUCCCCAGGUAUCCCCAGGUUUUUCCCCUCGGAGUUUUGUCCAGGUAUCCCCAGGUCUUUCCCCUCGGAGUUUUGUCCAGGUGUCCCCAGGUUUUUCCCCUCGGAGUUUUGUCCAGGUAUCCCCAGGUCUUUCCCCUCGGAGUUUUGUCCAGAUGUCCCCAGGUUUUUCCCCUCGGAGUUUUGUCCAGGUAUCCCCAAGUUUUUUCCCCUCGGAGUUUUGUCCAGGUUUCCCCUUUUCCGG
Non-coding RNA from Podarcis lilfordi (Lilford's wall lizard), 369 nucleotides. NCBI's taxonomy places the organism in Eukaryota, Metazoa, Chordata, Lepidosauria, Squamata, Lacertidae. The record is from the annotation of a GenBank genome assembly.